Molecule: long non-coding RNA, 356 nt
Filed under: Mus musculus (house mouse)
Lineage: Eukaryota; Metazoa; Chordata; Mammalia; Rodentia; Muridae
Description: ilncRNA-EC9
Source: RNAcentral
ACAGUGUUCAUCUUGUUUUGAUGGAAAUAAUGGGCCAAUGAACAAGAACAAGAAAAAGUAUUGCUGAGAUAAGAAGAAGUGAGGACAAACCUACAAAGGAGACCAGAGCUGAGGAGCCAGCAAAAGACAGUGGAAAUGUCUGUGGAAGAUUAAAGAGUUAAAUAUGUCUCAACUGCUGGGCCUGGUGGUGUAAGUCAGAGACUCAGGAGGCAGCACCAAGAGGAUCCAUUAAUAGCUCAAGGUUAGUCUCAUCUACAGAAUAAGUUCUAGGUCAACCUGUAAAUCUCUGUGAAACAAGAAAUAAAUUAGAGACGUAGGAACAUAGUUCAGUGGCAGAGCAUGCCUGAGGCAUAGGC